RNAcentral lists this long non-coding RNA (311 nucleotides) under Nicotiana benthamiana. Its description in RNAcentral is "long non-coding RNA (NBEN_LNC032905)". The record is from RNAcentral. Lineage: Eukaryota; Viridiplantae; Streptophyta; Magnoliopsida; Solanales; Solanaceae.
GAUUGUGUCUCACUUAUGGUAGUUACUGUAUGAUAUUAUUGCAUGAUAUUUAUUUAUGAUUCUUAUGUUUAGAUAAUUAUUUACGUUAUAUCUGCUGUAGUUACUAAUGCUCUUUUAUUUGUUUUUGUUUUUACUUUCCUUCACUGAGGGUCGAUUGGAAACAGCCUCUCUGCCCUUUCGGGUAGGGGUAAGGCUACUCUACAUAUUACCCUCCCCAGACCCCACUUUGUGGGACUAUAUUGCUGGAGUUACUACUGCUCUUUUGUUUUUGUUUUUGUUUUUGUUUUUGUUUUUACUUUCUUUCACUGAGC